This 466-nucleotide ribosomal RNA is filed under the name uncultured bacterium. RNAcentral describes it as "partial 16S ribosomal RNA". It matches the Rfam family "Bacterial small subunit ribosomal RNA", at positions 28 to 507 of the family's 1533-position model. The record is from RNAcentral.
GAUGAACGCUGGCGGCGUGCUUAACACAUGCAAGUCGAACGAUGAAGCCCAGCUUGCUGGGUGGAUUAGUGGCGAACGGGUGAGUAACACGUGAGUAACCUGCCCUUAACUCUGGGAUAAGCCUGGGAAACUGGGUCUAAUACCGGAUAGGAGCGUCCACCGCAUGGUGGGUGUUGGAAAGAUUUAUCGGUUUUGGAUGGACUCGCGGCCUAUCCGCUUGUUGGUGAGGGAAUGGUUCACCAAGGCGACGACGGGUAGCCGGCCUGAGAGGGUGACCGUCCACACUGGGACUGAGACACGGCCCAGACUCCUACGGGAGGCAGCAGUGGGGAAUAUUGCACAAUGGGCGCAAGCCUGAUGCAGCGACGCCGCGUGAGGGAUGACGGCCUUCGGGUUGUAAACCUCUUUCAGUAGGGAAGAAGCGAAAGUGACGGUACCUGCAGAAGAAGCACCGGCUAACUACGUG